CUACGGGUGGCAGCAGUGGGGAAUAUUGCACAAUGGGCGCAAGCCUGAUGCAGCCAUGCCGCGUGUAUGAAGAAGGCCUUCGGGUUGUAAAGUACUUUCAGCGGGGAGGAAGGGAGUAAAGUUAAUACCUUUGCUCAUUGACGUUACCCGCAGAAGAAGCACCGGCUGACUCCGUGCCAGCAGCCGCGGUAAUACGGAGGGUGCAAGCUUAAUCGGAAUUACUGAGCGUAAAGCGCACGCAGGCGGUUUGUUAAGUCAGAUGUGAAAUCCCCGGGCUCAACCUGGGAACUGCAUCUGAUACUGGCAAGCUUGAGUCUCGUAGAGGGGGGUAGAAUUCCAGGUGUAGCGGUGAAAUGCGUAGAGAUCUGGAGGAAUACCGGUGGCGAAGGCGGCCCCCUGGACGAAGACUGACGCUCAGGUGCGAAAGCGUGGGGAGCAAACAGGAUUAGAUACCCCAGUAGUC
RNAcentral lists this ribosomal RNA (463 nucleotides) under uncultured bacterium. RNAcentral describes it as "partial 16S ribosomal RNA". It matches the Rfam family "Bacterial small subunit ribosomal RNA", at positions 339 to 795 of the family's 1533-position model. The record is from RNAcentral.